UGCCAGACUCCUACGGGAGGCAGCAGUGGGGAAUAUUGCACAAUGGGGGGAACCCUGAUGCAGCGACGCCGCGUGAGCGAGGAAGUAUUUCGGUAUGUAAAGCUCUAUCAGCAGGGACGAAAAAAGACGGUACCUGACUAAGAAGCCCCGGCUAACUACGUGCCAGCAGCCGCGGUAAUACGUAGGGGGCAAGCGUUAUCCGGAUUUACUGGGUGUAAAGGGAGCGUAGACGGCAAGGCAAGCCAGAAGUGAAAGGGCAGGGCUCAACCCUGUACAUGCUUUUGGAACUGUGGUGCUAGAGUGCAGGAGAGGUAAGUGGAAUUCCUAGUGUAGCGGUGAAAUGCGUAGAUAUUAGGAGGAACACCAGUGGCGAAGGCGGCUUACUGGACUGUAACUGACGUUGAGGCUCGAAAGCGUGGGGAGCAAACAGGAUUAGAUACCCGAGUUC
Molecule: ribosomal RNA, 448 nt
Filed under: uncultured bacterium
Lineage: Bacteria
Description: bacterial SSU rRNA
Rfam family: Bacterial small subunit ribosomal RNA
Source: RNAcentral